RNAcentral lists this long non-coding RNA (777 nucleotides) under Lathyrus oleraceus (garden pea). Its description in RNAcentral is "Pisum sativum (pea) long non-coding RNA (PSAT_LNC034329)". The record is from RNAcentral. Lineage: Eukaryota; Viridiplantae; Streptophyta; Magnoliopsida; Fabales; Fabaceae.
GGUUUUUUAGAAAAAUUGUUGUGCUCUUGAUGUGUGAAAAAUUGCUCUGUUCUCGUGUGGUUUUUUUUUUUUUUGUUAACUUCUCAUCAUCUUCUUUAUGAAGAAAAUCUUAAGUCUUAAAAACUCCUUUUUUGUUAUACCUUUUUCUUCCAGAUUACAUGGGAUUCCAUUUGUAGAUUUGUUACUGUUUUAAGCUAUUUUCAAAGUGCUUUUUUGAGUGUUCAUGUUAACCUGCUGGGUAAAGUUUCAAACUGAGUAAUUUAUUUAGUUAUUUUUCAGUUUUUUAAGCGCUUUUGAAAAGUGCUUUUUUAAUUAAGCUGUUUUUCCUCUUUGCAGGUUACAGGAAUGAAGUGACCCCUAUUGAAGGGUGAAGUCUGCGUCAGCCCUAUUGAGGAGGGGGUUGGAUUUUAAGGUGCUUUGACCUAGACGACGGUCUUGGGCGCUGGCUUUUGAGAGUUCUAUUUCCAAACUGCUGGAUUUUCAGCAGCUUUUAAUUUUUCAAUUUUAGUCAUCAAGAUGUAACUUUGGACCCUUUGGAUAAUUGUAUUAAUUUCCAAACUGCUGGAUUUUCAGCAGCUUUUAAUUUUUCAAUUUUAGUCAUCAAGAUGUAACUUUGGACCCUUUGGAUAAUUGUAUUAACUUUGGAAUUUAUUUGUGAUAUCCUAGACCAAAAAAGAAUUUAUGUAAUUAAUCUCUUUUCAAACAUUUAAACUUUAUUUUAAUAUUUCAAUUAGGAACUUGUUAAUCAAUUAAAUCAUUUUGAACUUUGUCCUCUUA